This 253-nucleotide ribosomal RNA is filed under the name uncultured bacterium. RNAcentral describes it as "partial 16S ribosomal RNA". It matches the Rfam family "Bacterial small subunit ribosomal RNA", at positions 524 to 776 of the family's 1533-position model. The record is from RNAcentral.
AACGUAGGGGGCGAGCGUUAUCCGGAUUUACUGGGCGUAAAGCGCACGUAGGCGGCGCCGUAAGUUGGGCGUGAAAGCUCUCGGCUUAACCGGGAGAGGUCGUUCAAAACUGCGGUGCUUGAGGUUGACAGAGGAGAGUGGAAUUCCCGGUGUAGUGGUGGAAUGCGUAGAUAUCGGGAGGAACACCAGUGGCGAAGGCGACUCUCUGGGUCAUACCUGACGCUGAGGUGCGAAAGCGUGGGGAGCGAACGGG